Gorilla gorilla gorilla (western lowland gorilla) is the source of this 106-nucleotide small nuclear RNA. The record is from Rfam. Lineage: Eukaryota; Metazoa; Chordata; Mammalia; Primates; Hominidae.
GUGCUUGCUUCGGCAGUACAUGUACUAAAAUUGGAACAAUACAGAGAACAUUAGCACGGCCCCUUCACAAGGAUGACACCUUCACAAGGAUGACACACAAAUUUAU